Molecule: ribosomal RNA, 338 nt
Filed under: uncultured Clostridium sp.
Lineage: Bacteria; Bacillati; Bacillota; Clostridia; Eubacteriales; Clostridiaceae
Description: bacterial SSU rRNA
Rfam family: Bacterial small subunit ribosomal RNA
Source: RNAcentral
UGGGGAAUAUUGGGCAAUGGGGGCAACCCUGACCCAGCAACGCCGCGUGAAGGAAGAAGGCUUUCGGGUUGUAAACUUCUUUGACGAGGGACGAAAGAAAUGGCGGUACCUCGAAAACAAGCCACGGCUAACUACGUGCCAGCAGCCGCGGUAAUACGUAGGUGGCAAGCGUUGUCCGGAUUUACUGGGUGUAAAGGGCGCGUAGGUGGGUAAGCAAGUCAGAUGUGAAAUGCCGGGGCUUAACUUCGGGGCUGCAUUUGAAACUGUUUAUCUUGAGUGCAGGAGAGGAAAGCGGAAUUCCUAGUGUAGCGGUGAAAUGCGUAGAUAUUAGGAGGAAC